CAUUAUUGAAAUAAACCUGAUGGGUUGUUGCUGGUUCUCUAGGGAGCAUGUGCACGCCUUGUCAUCUUUAUAUCUCCACCUGUGCACCUUUUGUAGACCUUUCCAAAGGUCUAUGUUGCUUCAUUUACUCUAACGUAUGUUAAUAGAAUGUCGUGCCUAUAAAAAUAUAUACAACUUUCAGCAACGGAUCUCUUGGCUCUCGCAUCGAUGAAGAACGCAGCGAAAUGCGAUAAGUAAUGUGAAUUGCAGAAUUCAGUGAAUCAUCGAAUCUUUGAACGCACCUUGCGCUCCUUGGUAUUCCGAGGAGCAUGCCUGUUUGAGUGUCAUUAAUAUAUCAACCAUCUCUUUGUUGAGUGGUUUGGAUGUGGGGGGGUUUUUGCUGGCCUCUUUAAAAGGGUUCAGCUCCUCUGAAAUGCAUUAGCAGAACAACCCUGUUCAUUGGUGUGAUAACUAUCUACGCUAUUGAACGUGAAGGGCAGUUCAGCUUUCUAACUGUCCUUGGACAAUUUAUCAUUAAUGUGACCUCAAAUCAGGUAGGACUACCCGCUGAACUUAAGCAUAUCAAUAA
This 568-nucleotide ribosomal RNA is filed under the name Cortinarius sp. PRL6215. RNAcentral's name for it is "eukaryotic LSU rRNA". The stretch from base 173 to 326 matches the Rfam family "5.8S ribosomal RNA". The record is from RNAcentral. Lineage: Eukaryota; Fungi; Basidiomycota; Agaricomycetes; Agaricales; Cortinariaceae.